UACAGAGGGGGCGAGCGUUGUUCGGAAUUACUGGGCGUAAAGGGCGCGUAGGCGGCCCGCUAAGUCGAACGUGAAAUCCCCAGGCUCAACCUGGGAACUGCGUCCGAUACUGGCAGGCUUGAAUCCGGGAGAGGGAUGUGGAAUUCCAGGUGUAGCGGUGAAAUGCGUAGAUAUUGGGAGGAACACCAGUGGCGAAGGCGGCUCACUGGACCGGUACUGACGCUGAUGCGCGAAAGCGUGGGGAGCAAACGGG
Molecule: ribosomal RNA, 253 nt
Filed under: uncultured bacterium
Lineage: Bacteria
Description: partial 16S ribosomal RNA
Rfam family: Bacterial small subunit ribosomal RNA
Source: RNAcentral